Molecule: long non-coding RNA, 2013 nt
Organism: Thunnus maccoyii (southern bluefin tuna)
Lineage: Eukaryota; Metazoa; Chordata; Actinopteri; Scombriformes; Scombridae
Exons: 3
Source: RefSeq, a predicted model, not a curated record
AAUCCGGUGGGUGAUUUGUGUGUUGUGCUCUCAAGCGCCGCUGCCAUUACUUGUGGUGUCGGACUGGAACCGAACACGUUUACACCGACAGUGAAAGCAGAGAUCUGUCGGUAAAUCAUGGUCAGCAGUCAGAUGAAGGUAGUCUGUGUGAAUGUGGAAGUUGUUCAGUCUCGCACUAGUCUGACAUUAAUAAUGAUGCAGUGCUGUGUGGAGUAGUUUAGCUAAUUAAACCCCACAGGAAUGACUUGCUAGUUUAUGAUUUAACUCAAAUUCUGUGAUUUCUGUCAUUGUUUAGUAAAAAUGCAUCAUUUAGUAAAAAUUGGAAACACAUGAUACUGUUAAAGUGGAAUUUUGGGCAUGAAACAGUACCAAGCUAAUGUGGGGUUGGCAGCUCACCAUCGACCCUGUGUGGGCAGAUCAUUUGGCCUUUAGUGGUCCCUCGUUGGUCAGAAUGUGAUGGAAACAUGUGAAGUAAAAUAGAUUUGGUGUGAAGACAGACAUGAAGUAGAGGCAAGUGACUUUUACUUUCCAUUUUUUGUCUCAUUGGAGUAGCUGAUAACAGCAAAGAACAAAACUGAUAAAACUGGACUAAACUUCAUUCCAAAAUCAGUUUUAGUGGAUUAUAACCUUUAGUUUAGUGGCAUUUGAUGAUUAUACGUUCAGCUCAAAAGGACAGAUUUCUUGGCAAACGUGCUUAAAAAGUGAAAUCUUUUAGCCUUUUAGAACCUGGAUUCAUCUAUAGUCACAAUAUUUAUAUGUCUAACAUGUUGCACUAUAGUUUUGGCACCUAAACAGUGAAACAGUGAACCUCGUAUUGUCAGAAAGAGACUCUCUUGGUAUAUUUUAGAGUCGUCCUAAGACGUAUUCCUAAACCUUUAUGUGAUAUUAUUUCUGCAAGAAUAAUUGUUACAAUUAUAAAUAACUUCUUUAAAUUUAUAGGUGUUUGUUCUGUGUGUAUGUUUGUGCACGUGUCUAUAUUUGAAUUUGACCUCUGAAUCACUGCUGACAUCUCCAAAUGAUCCAGCAAACAGACGUGACACAAAAUUGAACUUCACUCUGAAUACUUUCAAUUCUUUUCUUUUUUAAUCACUGAGUGGGUGUCUUGUUUGCGAAUUAAACUAUUCACAGUUCCAAAUAUGCUGGAUCAAAUUUAAUUGUACCUUGUUUUAUUAAACAGGUUCGAACGUCUACAUAGAGACACAGCUUGAAUGUGAAAAUUAAUGAGGGAGAAGGGUGUUGGCUGACAAGUAGAUGUAAAAGGGCCUUUCAGCUCUCCACAGAGAACACAGUCGUCGAGGGCAUCCACGUUGAUGAUGGUCCAAUUAAAAGAUGAAGACACAUUUGUCAGAGGUUAAAUACGUAAUCUGUGCAAGGAAAAUGAGGCGAGAGCUCCAGGAGUAUUUAAGCACAGAGGAGCAACUCAGGGAAACAAUGAGAAGAUUGUGAUUCAGGGAUUCUAGUGAAAUCGUGAUGGACAAAUUCCUCUGGAGCCAGAGUGGAGGUAUUUCAGUAUAAACCUGCUAAAUGCCCCUGUGUGCCGCAGCAGCAGUUGCAUGGUGUUGAUGGAAAAAAAAAGUUUUAUGUCCCAAUAAAAGCCGGUUUACUGCAGACUAACUCGGUGUGUAUUUAUAUCUAUAAAAAUAAAAAAACAGAGGGAGGACUCAGAGGCCUGCGCAUGUUUUGUUAUUCAGACAAGUGUGCACAUGUGUGAAUUAAGAUUUUCAAAUAAAGUCUUCUCUGUAGACUGUCUGAAACAAAUGUGUACCCUUAAAUGCCCUGCUGGACGGAGCGGAGAGUAUAAUUGCAAGUUUUACAGUCGGGCAACGGAAAUUUGUUGGUGAACUUGAGCUUAAAAUACUGUAUAGAUUUUUUUCUAUAACAAUCAGCCCUCAGUUACAGUUAGUUAAGUGUGUGAGCUGAAGACAAAUAGCCAAAAUGAAACCAGAUUGUUCUCAUUUACUCUCAGAAACUGGAAUCAAACACUAAGCCUUUACCCCUAAUUGCAAAGAUCAA